GCCCAGGUGGCGAAAUUGGCAGACGCACCAGAUUUAGGUUCUGGCGCCGCGAGGCGUGGGGGUUCGAGUCCCUUCCUGGGCACCA
Molecule: transfer RNA, 85 nt
Filed under: Azoarcus sp. KH32C
Lineage: Bacteria; Pseudomonadati; Pseudomonadota; Betaproteobacteria; Rhodocyclales; Zoogloeaceae
Description: tRNA-Leu (TAG) (tRNA-Leu-TAG-1-1)
Rfam family: tRNA
About the family: Transfer RNA (tRNA) molecules are approximately 80 nucleotides in length. Their secondary structure includes four short double-helical elements and three loops (D, anti-codon, and T loops).
Source: RNAcentral